ACCUAUGACCAUACCACCCAGAUUUCGGAAGUUAAGCAGGGCAGGGCCUGACCAGUACUUGAAUGGGAGACUGCCUGAAAACACCAGGUACUGUUGGCU
Cercocebus atys (sooty mangabey) is the source of this 99-nucleotide ribosomal RNA. The record is from Ensembl. Lineage: Eukaryota; Metazoa; Chordata; Mammalia; Primates; Cercopithecidae.